Long non-coding RNA from Hibiscus syriacus, 525 nucleotides. RefSeq lists it as uncharacterized. NCBI's taxonomy places the organism in Eukaryota, Viridiplantae, Streptophyta, Magnoliopsida, Malvales, Malvaceae. The transcript has 3 exons. The record is from RefSeq and is a predicted model, not a curated record.
GAGAGAUAAUGAUUGUUUGCCUGGUAGUUGCUGUUAUAAUCUGAUGAUUCAAGGGUUUCUUCAGAGGGUCGAAGAGUUUGAAUCACCCCAAAUACACAACCAGGUAAAGCAACGAUCUCGCGUUUGGCAACUGCAGUUCAUGGUCAGUAAUUCCAGCCAGUUGAGAGAAAUGGCAGAUCUGCUAUGAAGAAUGACAGAUUCCCAGAUGAUUUGUUGGUUCUAUCAUGUGAAGAAGAUUGUGAAUUUUGUAUUCCUUUCCUCGAAAAAGAGAAAUCAGUGAGUCUUGUCGUCGGAUGGGUGUUUCCUUUUCCUGCCCAUUUGCUAAAUGCAGUGAUGUGGAGAAUGGCUUAGAAUCCAUCACUGUGAAGUCCAUUAGCUUUGGUGAUGAUGGAGUCAGAACACCUCUUAGAUCCAUCACUUCCACCUUAUUUUUGGAUCUCAUCUUACGAUCUAAUAAAUCAAUUUUGAUUUGAAAUGCUUCAUAGAUAGUGUAAAGAUUUCCACUUGCAAAUGAGUAUUUAGUUC